UACUUCUAAAUGGCUGUGGCCAGGUC
This 26-nucleotide small RNA is filed under the name Bombyx mori (domestic silkworm). Its description in RNAcentral is "ovarian small RNA-21637". Lineage: Eukaryota; Metazoa; Arthropoda; Insecta; Lepidoptera; Bombycidae. The record is from RNAcentral.